Saccostrea cuccullata (small rock oyster) is the source of this 731-nucleotide long non-coding RNA. RefSeq lists it as uncharacterized. The transcript has 2 exons. NCBI's taxonomy places the organism in Eukaryota, Metazoa, Mollusca, Bivalvia, Ostreida, Ostreidae. The record is from RefSeq and is a predicted model, not a curated record.
GGAAUCAUCGAGAGGUGUUUUAUAUCGAUAAAUAUGAACAUUAACUUUGUUUAGUACGUCUUAUUUAUCCGCUUUGCGACAUUUUUUAUAUAUACUACGCAUGCGUAAAAGUCAGUUCUACUAAAUUCUUUACAAUUUAUUCAUUUUACAAGGCAACGACUACGGAAGAAAACGUACAUUUUAAUUUUGAAAAAAAGACCCUCAGAAUCGGGUGUUUUGACGAUGCCAUUUAUCGAUUACACCAAGAUGCCUCAGUUCAGGUUUCGAACUCGGAAGGAUUUUACUCCAGCCACUCCUUAAAACGACAGAUACUCGCUUAAACGACCCAGGACUAGGUGGACAAAUGAUCAUUAAUCAUCGAACGGAAUUACAGAUUACGUUGGAAUUUCGUGAGCUAAAUUAUGUGCUAAAUGCGGAAAAUGGAUAUUUCAAUAAACAAAAAGCCCAAGGUUGUGUGUAAGAAAACACAUGCUUCUCAUUCAUCUUUUGUGUCCGUUGGAUUCUUUAUAUGUUCCGUGGAUCAAUCAUUGUGAAAUGAAUCUAUUAUAUAGCAAUGAACGGUGAAUUUAGGAAAUUUAUGAUCGGAGCCACGGAUGCGUUUACAAUAAUGUAUCUGAGACAUUCAAUUCACUGGAUUAUUUGUGUCAUUUUCAAUAGGAUUUUUUGUGAAAUAUUAACAUUUAACGCUACUAAUUUCCUACAUUGUUCAUAUUAAAUUGUUUAAUUUGUCA